GUGAAGAACAUGAACAGGUCUCUUGCUUGCAAAGAAUCUGUUCACCUCACCAUCCAUAACACCUGUGAAUUGUAAGAUGUGGUGGACUAUUAUCAGUCCCCUGUCUGCUCCCAUUUUUAACAUCUAGUGGUAACAAAAGUAGUCUUAUUAUAAUGUAAUA
This 160-nucleotide unclassified non-coding RNA is filed under the name uncultured fungus. Its description in RNAcentral is "sequence contains ITS1, 5.8S rRNA gene". Lineage: Eukaryota; Fungi. The record is from RNAcentral.